RNAcentral lists this ribosomal RNA (497 nucleotides) under uncultured bacterium. RNAcentral describes it as "partial 16S ribosomal RNA". It matches the Rfam family "Bacterial small subunit ribosomal RNA", at positions 28 to 507 of the family's 1533-position model. The record is from RNAcentral.
GAUGAACGCUGGCGGCGUGCCUAAUACAUGCAAGUCGAGCGAACAGACGAGGAGCUUGCUCCUCUGACGUUAGCGGCGGACGUGUGAGUAACACGUGGAUAACCUACCUAUAAGACUGGGAUAACUUCGGGAAGCCGUAGCUAAUACCGGAUAAUAUAUUGAACCGCAUGGUUCAAUAGUGAAAGACGGUUUUGCUGUUACUUAUAGAUGGAUCCGCGCCGCAUUAGCUAGUUGGUAAGGUAACGGCUUACCAAGGCAACGAUGCGUAGCCGACCUGAGAGGGUGAUCGGCCACACUGGAACUGAGACACGGUCCAGACUCCUACGGGAGGCAGCAGUAGGGAAUCUUCCGCAAUGGGCGAAAGCCUGACGGAGCAACGCCGCGUGAGUGAUGAAGGUCUUCGGAUCGUAAAACUCUGUUAUUAGGGAAGAACAAAUGUGUAAGUAACUAUGCACGUCUUGACGGUACCUAAUCAGAAAGCCACGGCUAACUACGUG